This 460-nucleotide ribosomal RNA is filed under the name uncultured bacterium. RNAcentral's name for it is "partial 16S ribosomal RNA". It matches the Rfam family "Bacterial small subunit ribosomal RNA", at positions 338 to 795 of the family's 1533-position model. The record is from RNAcentral.
CCUACGGGAGGCAGCAGUGAGGAAUAUUGGUCAAUGGCCGGAAGGCUGAACCAGCCAUGCCGCGUGAAGGUCAGUGCCCUAUGGGCGUUAAACUUCUUUUGUGCGGGAGCAAUAAUGGUCAAGUGUGGCCAGACGAGAGUACCGUACGAAUAAGCAUCGGCUAACUCCGUGCCAGCAGCCGCGGGAAUAAGGGGGAUGCAAGCGUUAUCCGGAUUUAUUGGGUUUAAAGGGUGCGUAGGCUGUGAGGUAAGUCAGCGGUGAAAUGCCCCCGCUCAACGGGGUGAAGUGCCAUUGAUACUGGCUGGCUGGAAUGCGGAUGACGUGGGAGGAAUGUGUGGUGUAGCGGUGAAAUGCAUAGAUAUCACACAGAACACCGAUUGCGAAGGCAUCUCACGAAUCCGCGAUUGACGCUGAUGCACGAAAGCGUGGGUAUCAAACAGGAUUAGAUACCCCAGUAGUC